Molecule: ribosomal RNA, 440 nt
Filed under: uncultured bacterium
Lineage: Bacteria
Description: partial 16S ribosomal RNA
Rfam family: Bacterial small subunit ribosomal RNA
Source: RNAcentral
CCUACGGGGGGCAGCAGUAGGGAAUAUUGCUCAAUGGGGGAAACCCUGAAGCAGCAACGCCGCGUGGAGGAUGAAGGUUUUCGGAUUGUAAACUCCUUUUGUUAGAGAAGAUAAUGACGGUAUCUAAAGAAUAAGCACCGGCUAACUCCGGGACAGCAGCCGCGGUAAUACGGAGGGUGCAAGCGUUACUCGGACCCACUGGGGGUAAAGAGCGCGGAGGCGGGAUAGUAAGUUAGAGGUGAAAUCCUAUGGCUAAACCAUAGAACUGCAUUUGAAACUGUUAUUCUAGAGUAUGGGAGAGGUAGGUGGAAUUCUUGGUGUAGGGGUAAAAUCCGUAGAGAUCAAGAGGAAUACUCAUUGCGAAGGCGGCCUGCUAGAACAUAACUGACGCUGAUGCGCGAAAGCGUGGGGAGCAAACAGGAUUAGAUACCCGGGUAGUC